GAGCAGGAGUUCAAUGAGUUUCAAUUUAUGUAUCGUACUAAUAUUUAUUUAUAUGCUCGUUCAAUGAAUUUAGACACUUUCAGUUAAAUGGUUUGACGUUGAUUAUUUUUUACCUUCUCAAUAUUUUCUAUGUUUCUAAACAUUUUAACAAGUAUGCGUAAAAGUCUUCAAUUUUGCUAUUUUUUAUUUAAUAAGUAGUGAUUUUAUGCUUUCUACAUUUUUCGUAUCUAUUUUUUUUUUCUUCUUUUUUUUAAUCUGUAUAUAUGGAUAUUGAGUGUAUUUUGCUAUUAAUAUUUAGUAUUCGAUCCACAUACUUCUAUAUAGUGCAAAUGGGUUUUUAAUAUUCAAGUAUGUAUGUGUGUAUAUGUAUAUGUUGGGCCAUAGGUCUUCCUAUUAUUUAAUUUAGAUUUGCUCUACAUUUACGAAUUGAUUAGUUUUUGUUGUUUGUCACUGCUCGUCUUUCAAUAUAACUUCGCAUGAACUCACACACAGUUUUGGUGGUUUCCAUAUUAUGAAUCGCAUUUAUGCAUACACAAAAGAAAGUAAAUAGGCGGGAGUGUAAGACUUAAUUUUAAAAUAAAUUCAAAGACAUAAGAUGGAAUUUUACAUUAAGACGCCAUGUAAUAAAAAAAUUACAACAAAGCUAGUGAGUCGAAAACCGACCAAUGCACUUCAAAUGUAGCUCCGCUCACCCUUAUGCGAAAAUUCAACGCAACGCGCUCGAAACGUAUAUUUUUUAUUUCCGCCUGCCUCACCAUUUUGCCCUGCCCGCGAUGUUUAAACAAGAAAAUUAUGGCCGUGCAAGCUCACGCACGCUCUUAGUGCCGUGCUGUAGACAGUUAUAACAGAGGCUUUUGUUACACAGAUUUUCAUCACACGAAUAAGCGAAUAAUUGUAUUGUUAAUUAGUUGUAAAAAACUUCCGUUACAUCUGAAUAUGCUAUUAAAGUGUAAUAAUACAAAAUGUGCCAGCCAAUUUGAUGCGCGCAUAUUUCACGUUUCUUUAUUUUCAUGCUUGAAAGUAUUUUUUCAAAAGUGAGACAGAUUCAAGGCAGAAAACAAAUUAACUGCAUACUGAAAACGAAUGUCCAUUAGGUCUGUUCAUCAAGCAAAUAAUUUGUAACAAUUGUUGUGUUGGUGUUCAUGUAUACAAAAAACUUGCAAAGUAGGGGAAAGUGAGAGAAAUAAAUGGCAUUUCAUUUUGAGGGGAAGUUCCAAGCUUUUACUGGAUAAAUUUUUACUUGUAAGAAUUUGCAAGUGAGAACAACAGCUGAUCGCAAAGUGAAAAUAAAUUUGAAUUAAAAUUUGAGAAUUGAGUCAAAAUUUUACAUUUAACUUAGAAUGGUGAUUGAAAUGGAGAAUAUAAAAAUUGGCCAAUGAUAUGAAGAUAUGUACUUCUGAACCACAGCCUCCAGUCACCGUUGCGGCAGUUUCCGAAAGACAAAUCCAUCACUAAAAACGCAGCGGAAUUAUUGGCAUCGCAGUUAUCUAACGGUAAGCGUAUCGUUUUAUCGUGGUUGGGCUCAACUGUUUGGACACAUGAUGGAUGACUUGGCUGAGUGGGGCAUGUGAAGAAGGAGAAUUAGCUCCAAGACACAUUGCAUACAAAGAUCGUAGGAGUAGAGCAAAAACAAUAAGAGCAAUGUAUUUUGUUUUUGCUUUUGAUAUCUGGAAAGCCAAAAUCUAUAAACAAAGACUGGCAGUAAUUUAAACAAAAUUUUAGAAUUUGAAUACCAAAUAAAUAGAAAAGAGCCCGUUCCAUAUGCCUUGGCUAGAACCUUACGGCACAUCUACGCAGCUACUACUAGCUUCGCGUGGUGAACGCAGGAAAUGCAACAAAUCAAUCGUUACGGAUGGAACAAACUCCAGACGCAAAUUAACAAAGAUGAUCGAGUGUCGGUAAAAUCAAAGAAAUUAAAAAAACAACUCUUUUAAUUGGUUGUACGAAAAAAAUAACAGAAAAUUUAUUGGUUUUCCUUCUGUUGUUUCUUUGUUAAAAAAAUUAAAGAGAAACUUCUUGCAUAUUACUACUUACAACUUAAA
Long non-coding RNA from Anastrepha ludens (Mexican fruit fly), 2042 nucleotides. RefSeq lists it as uncharacterized. The transcript is spliced from 3 exons. NCBI's taxonomy places the organism in Eukaryota, Metazoa, Arthropoda, Insecta, Diptera, Tephritidae. The record is from RefSeq and is a predicted model, not a curated record.